This is a long non-coding RNA of Panthera uncia (snow leopard), 2067 nucleotides long. RefSeq lists it as uncharacterized. Lineage: Eukaryota; Metazoa; Chordata; Mammalia; Carnivora; Felidae. The transcript is spliced from 3 exons. The record is from RefSeq and is a predicted model, not a curated record.
GGAAAGGCGGCCUCGGGGAGACCGAAUAGAGGGCAGAAGGGGAGGGAAGAGAAAAGAGAGGAAACAUCAGGGAUGGAGGAGGAACCAUCUUCCUCUCACCCCCUGCCACUCCUAGUCUGUUUUGUAAGCUGGUGUAUCUCAAGGGCCUGGAACAGCACCUGGCACAUCAUAGGCGCUCAGUAGGGAUGCCAUGAAAACCAGACAGAGAACACCGGAACGCUCUGGGAAAUGAAAACUACAAGGGUGGAAAUUUAAAAUCCAGUGAGAGGAAAUAAGAUGAGAGCAGGAGAGAAGGACCAAGAGAAAGACUUAGAGAAGCAGUCCAGAACGUCUAGCAUCCAACCAAAGAGUUCAAAUCAGAAAGACCAAAGGAAAAGAAAGGACUUCGGAAAAAACCACACGAGAAGAUUUCAUAGGACUGAGCUACAAGUCUCUUGAUGAAAAGGGGUCUCUUAUGAUGGGUGCAAAGACACCCAUGGAAGGUCUGACAUGAGAUUUCAGAGUAUUGGGGGAGGAGGGGAGAGAAGACCCUAACCACUUUCAGAUAGAAAGAAGCAGGUCACAUACUAAGGAUCAGGAGUCACCAUGGCAUCGGGCUUUUCAAUAGCAACCAGGGGUUCUAAGAGGCCGUGGAACAUUGUCUGCAGAAUUCCAACAGAAAAUCAUUUCAAAUCUAAAAUUCUAUAGCUGGCAAAAAUGGCAAAAACGACUGGCAGGUCAUUACUGGCAAAGAAUCGAAAAAGACAAGUCCCAGAGGAAGACGUACCACCAGCCAGUAAACAUCGGAGAUGUCCUGCUUCACUAGCGAUAAGGAAAAUGCUAAUCAAAACUACAACUGUCACAUUGACAACCAUUUAAGAGAUUGAAGGCAUUGGGCAUUGGCCAGGAUGUGGGUAGACACACUCAAAUACACUGAUGCUAAGACUCUGUGUUGGUGAAAACUUCUUCAAAGGUAAUCUGAAACUCUCAAACUUCCUGACAUGCACGUCUUUGACCCCGCCUUACUUUUCCAAGCAUCUUCCCACAGAAAUACCUAUUUGCACAAAAUAGUAAUAGAAAUGCCUUUUUGCACAAAGCUGGGCACAUCUUAAAGUUGGUAAUUGUGGCACUGAUUAGAGUAGGAAAAAAAAAAUCGAGAUUACCCAAACGUUUGCCAGCAGAGAUGUGGUUGGAUCAUAGUCAAGGACUAUUUUUCACAUGGAGGAAUAUUAUGUACAUAUUAAAAAGAAUGGCACUCCUCCAAAAGUUAAAAAUAGAAUUACCAUAGGGCCCAGCAAUUCCACUUUUGGCUGUAUACCCAAAAGAAUUGAAAGCAAAGAUGAAGAGAUAGAUAACCUGGUCACCCAUGUUUAUGGUGGCAUUAUUCACCAUAGCCAAAAGGUGAAGGCGACCCAAAGUCCACAAAGCCAAAAACUAUGGCACAUACAUACGAUACCAUUCAGCCUUUUUUUUUAAUGUUGAUUUUUAAUUUUUUUAUUUUUUGAGAGAGACAGUGUGAACAAGGGAGGGGCAGAGAGAGGGAGACACAGAAUCUGAAGCAGGCUCUAGGCUCCCAACUGUCAGCAUAGAGCCAAACGCGGGGCUCGAACUCGCAAACUGCGAGAUCAUGACCUGAGCCGGAGUCGGAUGUUUAACCGGCUGAGCCACCCAAGCGCCCCUCGUUCAGCCUUUAAAAUGAAGGAUGUUCUGACACAUGCUGCAACACUGAGGACAUUAUGCUAAGUGAAAUAAGCCUGACACAGAAAGACAAAUAGCAUAUGAUUCCGCUCAUAGGAGAUGCCUACUGUAGUCAAACUCAUAGAGACAGAAAAUAGAAUGGUGGUUGACAGGAAUAAGGAGUUUUUGUUUCAUGGGGACAGAAUUUCAGCUAGGGAAGAUGUGAAGGUUGUGUGGAUGGCCAGUGGUGAUGAUGUCACAACGCGAAUGUACUUAAUGCCACUGAACUGCACACUUAAAAAUGGUUAAGAAGAGGUUUGCCUGGCUGACUCGGUUGGAAAAGUGUGAGACUCUUGAUCUUGGGGUCGUGAGUUCAAGCCCUAUGUGGGGUACAGAGAUAAAUAAAUUUUA